AGCGAACGCUGGCGGCAGGCCUAACACAUGCAAGUCGAACGAACCUUUCGGGGUUAGUGGCGGACGGGUGAGUAACACGUGGGAACGUGCCUUUAGGUUCGGAAUAACUCAGGGAAACUUGUGCUAAUACCGAAUGUGCCCUUCGGGGGAAAGAUUUAUCGCCUUUAGAGCGGCCCGCGUCUGAUUAGCUAGUUGGUUGAGGUAAUGGCUCACCAAGGCGACGAUCAGUAGCUGGUCUGAGAGGAUGAUCAGCCACAUUGGGACUGAGACACGGCCCAAACUCCUACGGGAGGCAGCAGUGGGGAAUCUUGCGCAAUGGGCGAAAGCCUGACGCAGACAUGCCGCGUGAAUGAUGAAGGUCUUAGGAUUGUAAAAUUCUUUCACCGGGGACGAUAAUGACGGUACCCGGAGAAGAAGCCCCGGCUAACUUCGUG
RNAcentral lists this ribosomal RNA (434 nucleotides) under uncultured bacterium. RNAcentral describes it as "partial 16S ribosomal RNA". It matches the Rfam family "Bacterial small subunit ribosomal RNA", at positions 29 to 507 of the family's 1533-position model. The record is from RNAcentral.